ACCUUGUUUAAUAAACAUACAUGGAACAGUGGGGGAAGCGGAUGGCGCAGGGCAGGGGGGAGGCUUUGACGUUCUCCCAGGAGUGGCGAGCGGGGGUUGUGCAAGCAGCACAGGCUUCACGAGGCAGAGGAGCCGAGAACAGAUAUCUUUACACGAUGUUCCUCCUGACUUGGACCUUCAAUCCACCUUUUACGAAAACCGUGGGAAUCCUGAGCCGGACACAUCUGCACCUGCAGCCUGGUGGGCAGUGCUCCCGUGGACAGCGGAGGCCCGCAGAUCUAGUUUCAGAAUGAAGGAGUCAAGUGACAGAUGUUUAAUUAACUCCUUAAGCUGAUUAGACAGUGUUAGCGAACCCCUCAGGGAGAGCCCGGCGGAGUCCGAGUCGCUGCCUCUUUUUGAGCUUAGAAAGCCGCUGAAUACGUGACUCGGAGCUCCUGAGGUUGG
Molecule: long non-coding RNA, 444 nt
Organism: Octodon degus (degu)
Lineage: Eukaryota; Metazoa; Chordata; Mammalia; Rodentia; Octodontidae
Exons: 3
Source: RefSeq, a predicted model, not a curated record